This is a long non-coding RNA of Hypomesus transpacificus, 194 nucleotides long. RefSeq lists it as uncharacterized. The record is from RefSeq and is a predicted model, not a curated record. The transcript has 3 exons. Lineage: Eukaryota; Metazoa; Chordata; Actinopteri; Osmeriformes; Osmeridae.
CAGAAGCUGAAGACAUCUGCCCCCGCCCUCCUGCAGAAUCUGGGGACAUCUGCACCCCUACUCCUGGGCCCACUGUUCCGGUUCAUUCUAAAGAUGCAAUCCAGGGAAGGAAGAGAAACUGAAGUGGUUCAACCAUCCCCCCUAAAAAGAAAGGUCUGGAGGGUCAUGCAGAGGCCUGCUCAACAGAGUUCAAC